CCCGCGAGGGGGAGCUAAUCCCAUAAAGCCAGUCGUAGUCCGGAUCGUAGUCUGCAACUCGACUACGUGAAGUCGGAAUCGCUAGUAAUCGUGGAUCAGAAUGUCACGGUGAAUACGUUCCCGGGUCUU
This 129-nucleotide ribosomal RNA is filed under the name uncultured Rhodoferax sp. RNAcentral's name for it is "partial 16S ribosomal RNA". It matches the Rfam family "Bacterial small subunit ribosomal RNA", at positions 1254 to 1382 of the family's 1533-position model. Lineage: Bacteria; Pseudomonadati; Pseudomonadota; Betaproteobacteria; Burkholderiales; Comamonadaceae. The record is from RNAcentral.